GCUACAUUGAUUUAGGGCGUAUGCCUGCCGAAAACAAGUCACAUAGGCCUACUGGCUAUGUCAUCGCUGGAUGGGCUAAAUAAUGUAAAGCUAUUUUGUGACAAUGUACUUUUUUUGCAAAUUGCUAUAGGCCUAUACUUAAACAAAAUUGCAUUGAAACAAAUUAAUUGAUCCAAUGAUUUACCGUCCGUAAGCUGUAGGACAAGGUGCAGCUAUAUGGUUUGAUGCGGUUUCGUGGACUUCCCCACUGAUAACCGAUAAUCCCUUGUUAAAUCGGAACAGCCUCAGCUCAUAUAUUUAGGCAUAUACUAAGCUCCUAUAUGUCCGCACGUGAUGACAUUCAUAGGCUAAUGCUUAUAUGUGUAGGCGUUGCCUGAACAAAAGUGUGCACAAUAGGCUUGCUAAUAACCAAUUUGUUUAUCAUCUCAGGCACUGGCCUCUAAUUGACACUGAGCUGUUUUACCUGUAUUCUGACAGGUUCAGGAUCCUGGACAGCGUUGAUAAAAAAAAACGCAUGUCACCAAUUUGAGGAGAAAGCCAUAGGUCCCUCCCCUCUGACCUUCUCCAAUGGGUUUUGAGAAGGAGGCGAGGAGAUAGGACACGAUGAGUGUGCAAUUGAGAUCUUCCCUGGACGUUUCCAUCAGACUCAUCUUUGCCUGCUGUCGCUGUUACCAUGCACACAGUGGGCUUCACAGAGACUGUGCAAGCACUAAAGAAAGUCAGUGUGUAAUUACAUAGGCGUUUACCCACAUCCCUUAUAGUCAACCUUUUAAAUUGAGUUAUAUUUUUUAGCUGCACUCUUGUUUGUCCCCCAAACUUCCCACAUCAGGAGAGUGGUUCCAGCAUAGUGGACCCCAUCAUUGGCAUCUGCGUCAUUGGAGUGAUCACUGUCACAUGUCUGCUGGCCAUGUCAUUGGCUGGGAUGGAAUGGGAGUCCAAGGGAGGGCCUUCUCCCUCAGCUGUGGACACUGCCAGUAGCUACAGUCAUGUGACCUGACUGAACAAGUGGCGGAUCAAGUCCUUGUAUCAAGGUGUGGUGACAGAUGACCUGCACACUGGGUUUCAGAUGCUGCUCCAGGUGGGCCAACUUCCAAGCCUCAUCUCCAUCACCGCAGUAGUGAGAUCUAGUAGAACAAUGGUCUAGAUCCAGUUCAUCAUGUGGUUCCAUACUGCAGGAUUUAAUUCAUGUGUUAUCAUUUAUUCCCGCAGGGUGCAGGUUUGGUCAGAUGUCCUCCUGAUGGGGUUAAAAAGGAACUUGCAUAAAAUCAAAUAAAAAAUCAAAUCAAAUUUUAUUGGUCACAUACACAUGGUUAGCAGAUGUUAAUGCGAGUGUAGCGAAAUGCUUGUGCUUCUAGUUCCGACCAUGCAGUAAUAUCUAACAAGUAAUCUAACAAUUUCACAACUACCUUAAAUACACAAGUGUAAAGGAAUGAAUAAGAAUAUGUACAUAUAAAUAUAUGGAUGAGUGAUGGCCGAACGGCAUAGGCAAGAUGCAGUAGAUGGUAUAGAGUACAGUAUAUACAUAUGAGAUGCGUAAUAUAGGGUAUGUAAACAUUAUAUAAAGUAGCAUUGUUUAAAGUGACUAGUGAUACAUUUAUUACAUCCAAUUUUUAAUUAUUAAAGUGGCUAGAGAUUUGAGUCAGUAUGUUGGCAGCAGCCACUCAAUGUUAGUGAUGGCUGUUUAACAGUCUGAUGGCCUUGAGAUAGAAACUGUUUUUCAGUCUCUCAGUCCCAGCUUUGAUGCACCUGUACUGUCCUCGCCUUCUGGAUGGUAGCGGGUGUGAACAGGCAGUGGCUCGGGUGGUCGUUGUCCUUGAUGAUCUUUUUGGCCUUCCUGUGACAUCGGGUGGUGUAGGUGUCCUGGAGAGCAGGUAGUUUGCCCCCGGUGAUGCGUUGUGCAGACCUCACUACCCUCUGGAGAGCCUUGCGGUUGUGUGCGGAGCAGUUGCCAUACCAGGCUGUGAUACAGCCCGACAGGAUGCUCUCGAUUGUGCAUCUGUAAAAGUUUGUGUGUGUUUUUGGUGACAAGCCAAAUUUCUUCAGCCUCCUGAGGUUGAAGAGGUGCUGUUGCGCCUUCUUCACCACAUUGUCUGUGUGGGUGGAUCAUUUCAGUUUGUCCUUGAUGUGUACGCCGAGGAACUUAAAACUUUCCACCUUCUCCACUACUGUUUCGUCGAUGUGGAUAGGGGGCUGCUCCCUCUGCUGUUUCCUAAAGUCCACGAUCAUCUCCUUUGUUUUGUUGACAUUGAGUGUGAGGUUAUUUUCCUGACACCACACUCCAAGGGCCCUCACCUCCUCCCUGUAGGCCGUCUCAUUGUUGUUGGUCAUCAAGCCUACCACUGUAGUGUCGUCUGCAAACUUGAUGAUUGAGUUGGAGGACAGACCAUCCUGCAUUGACAGCUACAUUGGCAUUCUACAGUGAGUGAAUCACUGUCAAAUCAGAAAGACGAGUUCCUUAUGGAUGUGUUAGUGAGAAUGAAGUUUAAUGUGUCUUUGUGGCUGUGUUUUAGUGACUCAUUUGACCUGCAGUAUGAAGUGUGAGGGCUGCGGAUGAGGGAGUUAACCCUUGGUUUGAGGCAAGCCCAGAAAGGGGUGUCAACACCUGUGUGCACCCCUGCAAAUGUUUUAUUUAUGUAUGAUAACAUUCAGAGUAUACAGUUUGUGGUCUAUGACGUUCAUUUUUUUUUAAAAAUAGUAUUGACAGAGGGAUGUUGUCUUAGUUACAAUAGACCCUGAUGCCAUGGUGACUGAGCCUCAGCCUCAUACUGUGUUUCAGUCCGAGCAGGGGGAAAAUACCAUUGAUGUGUACUGGCUGUUCGAUGAUGGAGUCAUGGCCCUCGUCGGCAAGUUCCGCCUUGGUUUCCAUGACGUCAAAGUGCUGCCUGAUAUCAAUGGAAGACCACAACAUGAACAGUCAGUGCUCUGUUGAGACACUUCCAUCUGCCUCGCUGACAAGUGUGAGGAGGUUUGAGGAUCUGAUAGGGACCUACAAGCUGAACACCGACUAGAAGCAUGCAGCUGAGCAGAUGAAGCAGGUCUGUCCCUGGGUGGUGUCUGGUGAGGAGAUGGAGAGAAAUAAGAUCAUUAACUGGGAUUCGAGGGCCCAAAGGGCAGUACCACUCUAUUGCCAAAAUGUCAAUUGUAGCAUAGCUAGAUGUGGAAUACAUGUUUUGGAAUUUUGACAGUAUCAUUGUUCUCUGGUUACUGUACCUCCAUAUAUGUGUUUUUGCUCCAGACCCUUCAACAGAUUCGUCUGAAUGAGGUUCUCCAAGAUUACUCAAGGGAUGCAGCCAUGAUUGUUAUGUACAUAUUUUGUAUUUACAAACCAGAUGUCUUUCUUGCAUUCAUUGACUUCAACCCACCCCAUCCCAUUACAAAGCCCAUAAAGGCUUUCCCACAUGAACAGGUGAUGAGAUUGAUUACUCCCUUGGUCUUGCAUGAGAUGAUACCCCAAACAGGGAUUUUUCCACCUGUAUGUGGGUGUCUGAAGAAGGAUGUUGUUAUAGUGCUGUUGCACUGUGCUCAUGAGCCACAUUUGUAGUUCCCAUUUGGAACGGGUGUCAAGAGUGGGCUUAUUGACAGAACCAUGCCCGUGGGAAGGAGAGGGCAAUAUCCCAGUGCUCUGUGCAUGGCUUGGCUGGAGACUCGUGACUCGUGCCCACUUAAUGGUGAGGGGAAACCAAGAGCAUAUCUUCACCGUCUAAUGUCAGUGAUCCCUGUUCUAACUAUGUUUAAUGAAAUCACGCAAUAACCAAGGAAAAUAGUAUUGUUAUAGCCCUGGUGAUAAUACAUCUAAUUUUCUCUGGUAAAAGUGCUCUGGUCAUGACAAUUCACUUCUUUCAUUAUCAUCAGCAGACUCCUUAGCCAUCUGAAUACAUUUAACAUCAUCAUCAGUAGCAGAAGCAUUGUUGUCAUUAUCAUCACUAUGCAGUAGAAUAUAACAUUUGUUAUUGGUGUGCUUGAUGAUAGACUGUUUUGAAGUGUAACACCACUGUGUAUUUGUA
Molecule: long non-coding RNA, 4004 nt
Filed under: Salmo salar (Atlantic salmon)
Lineage: Eukaryota; Metazoa; Chordata; Actinopteri; Salmoniformes; Salmonidae
Description: lncRNA (ENSSSAG00000099943.1)
Source: RNAcentral